GCCUUCGUUGUGUAAUUGGAAGCACUUCCACCUGGCAAUCGGGAAAUCCGGAGUUCGAAUCCCAGCAAGGGCA
RNAcentral lists this transfer RNA (73 nucleotides) under Stegodyphus mimosarum. It matches the Rfam family "tRNA". Rfam says of the family: Transfer RNA (tRNA) molecules are approximately 80 nucleotides in length. The record is from Rfam by way of RNAcentral. Lineage: Eukaryota; Metazoa; Arthropoda; Arachnida; Araneae; Eresidae.